This 378-nucleotide ribosomal RNA is filed under the name uncultured Planctomycetota bacterium. Its description in RNAcentral is "bacterial SSU rRNA". It matches the Rfam family "Bacterial small subunit ribosomal RNA", at positions 521 to 896 of the family's 1533-position model. The record is from RNAcentral. Lineage: Bacteria; Pseudomonadati; Planctomycetota.
UAAUACGAAGGGCCCAAGCGUUAAUCGGAAUCACUGGGCUUAAAGAGUACGUAGGCGGACCAGAAGGUGCUUUGUGAAAUCCCUCGUCUCAACCGAGGAACUGCAGGGCAAACCACUGGUCUAGAGACAGGUAGGGGUCGUCGGAACGCUAGGUGGAGUGGUGAUAUGCGCUGAUAUCUAGCGGAACGCCGAAGGAGAAGUCAGGCGACUGGGCCUGUUCUGACGCUGAGGUACGAAAGCGUGGGGAGCGAACGGGAUUAGAUACCCCGGUAGUCCACGCCGUAAACGAUGCGCACUAGGUUGGAGAGGUUCUGACACCACUUCCGGCCGAAGCAAAAGUGUUAAGUGCGCCGCCUGGGGAGUACGGUCGCAAGGCUA